UCUUCCGUGUAUUUGUACGGCGUCGCACAAGUACAAGAUACAUAAACGGAUACAACCACUAUAACUGAAUAUACAAACUUUCAACAUUCAUACACCAUUCACCAACCGAUUCACAUUCAAAGUUUGUUCGGAAAUCUAUAACUAUUAGUUUAAAAUGUUUCCUAUUCGGAAACUCAUUUUGAAAUACUAAUUUAUAAAAACCACGAGAAAACCUUUUCAAAACCAUUUCCCACACGGAAACCCUUUUUCAUUAAAACACGCUACCACGAGGGGGAAAAGACCGUUUUCAUCUCAAAGAAAACCAUAAGUUCUUUAAUUCAUUUACCAAAAUCACAUUUAUCCAGGUAAACAAAAACUAACUGAACCAAUAUACCUAAGUCAUAUCAUCAGGAAUAAAGAAGAUAGCAACUAAACCAAACAAACCAGGUCGGAAGCUCUAUCGACCGCUACGAACGUGUCUCACGUCUCAUCUCAACCCUCACUGCCCGCAAUACCUGAAAAA
This 502-nucleotide long non-coding RNA is filed under the name Ananas comosus (pineapple). RNAcentral's name for it is "long non-coding RNA (ACOM_LNC041536)". Lineage: Eukaryota; Viridiplantae; Streptophyta; Magnoliopsida; Poales; Bromeliaceae. The record is from RNAcentral.